CGUAACUUAGGCAGUCUGCAACUUUGUUCAAGGACAAUUCUGUGCAAAUUUUACGCCUGUCAGGAGCCUGCACUGCACGCUAGUGAUAGACGUAAUACUCUUCCAAGGGGAAGCUAGCUCCCGCCUCCCUCUGUCACUUAAAUAGGUUUUUAUUAAGUAAAAUUAAAAAUAGACAUCACAGCCCCCACCACUCGUCGGCUCGGAUUGCGCACAUAUGCUAUGAACUGGCAAAACUGUCCAAUCACAGGCUUCUCUGUGAUUGGUCCAAGCCUGUGAUUGGACAAAGCAAGUGCCAGAUGAC
This is a non-coding RNA of Pelobates cultripes (western spadefoot toad), 301 nucleotides long. Lineage: Eukaryota; Metazoa; Chordata; Amphibia; Anura; Pelobatidae. The record is from the annotation of a GenBank genome assembly.